This 2846-nucleotide long non-coding RNA is filed under the name Macaca fascicularis (crab-eating macaque). RNAcentral describes it as "lncRNA (ENSMFAG00000064212.1)". Lineage: Eukaryota; Metazoa; Chordata; Mammalia; Primates; Cercopithecidae. The record is from RNAcentral.
AAAAAUAAUAAAUCUCUCUCUUUAUUUAUAUGUAGACAUUUAUAUACAUAUAGGCUUUAUAUGCAUUUGUAUACAGUCAAGUGCUACAUAUAGAUAUUUCAGUCAAUGACAGCCUGUAUACAUGGUGGUUAUCCCAUAAGAUUAUAACACCAUGUUUUUACUGUACCUCUUCUAUGUUUAGAUACACAAAUACUUACCAUUGUGCUCCAAUUGCCCGUGCCAUUCGGUCCAGUAAUGUGCCACAUGAGUGUGUAGCCUAGGAGCAAUAGGCUAUACUGUACAGCCUAGGUGUGUAGUUGUGUAGUAGCUGUAUCAUCUAGGUUUGUGUAAAUACACUCUAUGAUGUUCACACAAUGAUGAAGCCCCCAGUAACACAUUUCUCAGAACAUUUCCCCAUCAUUAAAUGAUACAUGGCUAUAUGUAAAAUUGGUUCUAUUUCUCCAGAGAAUCUUCACUAAUACAGAGCUCCUCUUCUGAAUUUGCCUUAUUUUACUUUUAAAUAAAAGAAGUAGGCCAGGCACGGGGCUCACGCUUGUAAUUCCAAAAACGGGGUUUUCUUUUUUAUUUCAUGUUCAAGGUGCAAAUUUUCCAAACUUUUAUACUCUACUUCCUUUUGAACAGUUUGCUGCUUAGAAAUUACUUCUGCUGGAUACCCUAAAUCAUGUCUCUCAAGUUCAAAGUUCCACAGAUCUCUAUGGCAGGGGCAAAACACCACCAGUCUCUUUACUAAAGCAUUGCAAGAGUCACCUUUGCUCCAGUUUCCAACAAGUUCCUCAUCUCCAUCUGAGGCCACCUCAGCCUGGACUUCAUUGUCAUAUCACUAUCAGCAUUUUGGUCAAAACCAUUCAACAAGUCUCUCAGAAGUUCCAAACUUUCCCACAUCUUCUUAUCUUCUUCUGAACCCUCCAAACUGUUCCAACCUCUGCCUGCUACCCAGUUCCAAAGUCGCUUGCCUUCUACAUUUCCGGGUAUCCUUAUAGCAGUGCCUCACUUCCUCGGUACUAAUUUACUGUAUUAGUCCAUUUUCAUGCUGCUAUGAGGAAAUAUUCGAGACUGGGUAAUUUAAAAAGAAAAGAGGUUUAAUUGACUCACAGUUUCACAUGGCUGGGGAGGCCUCAGGAAGCUUACACUCAUUGCAGAAGGUGCAUUCUUCACAGGCUGGCAGGAGAGAAAAUGAGUGCCAGGAGAGGAAAUGCUGGAUGGCUAUAAGCCCAUCAGAUCUCAUGAGAACUCACUCACUGUCAGGAGAACAGCAUGGGGAAACGACCCCCAUGGGUCCCUCCUAUGACAUGUGGGGAUUAUGGGAUUACAAUUCAAGAUGAGAUUUGUGGGGGGACACAAAGCCAAACUAUAUCAUGCUACGUAAAAGUGGAGGUUGUAGCAUAAAGCUUCUUUGUACAUCUUUAAGAUAAUAAGCCACCUGUCUUCUGUCAUCUGUCUUCUAUUUUGAUCUGACUGAAAGACAUUGCUAAGCUAGUUUGCAAAGCAGCUCCCACCUCUAACUCUUCCCUCCUACUCCUUCAUAGUUCAGGGAGGCUCCAUUUCCAAAACGAGUGUGGUCAUUGUACUUAUGGCCACUAGGUGGCAGGCCAGACCCAUCCAAUAACACCACAGCCUUAAUCCUCACUGGCUGCAAUGAUUUUCCUUUUCAAUCAGUUAUUAAAAAUAGUGUCACUUUUUGGUAAACAAAACCACAGAAUUUUAACAAUAGAGAAAAAAUAAGAAGUAAGCUUGUUCAUUGUCAAUUUUUAUUUUUAAAUCUUCCCCCAAAGGAGGAAGAUACAUUGCACAUUUUUGUUGACUUUGGUGUCUCUUUCAGCAUCUAGAUGAAAUACUAACACUUCUGUUUCAGAAGAGUAGAUAUAUUUCCUCUGUUCCAAAAGGUAACAGUGGGCUGGGUGUGGUGGCUCACACCUGCAAUCCCAGAGCUUUGGGAGGCCAAAGCGGGCAGAUUACUUGAGGCCAGGAGUUCGAGACCAGACUGGGCAACAGGGUGAAACCCCAUCUCUACUAAAAAUACAAAAAUUAGCUGGGUGUGGUAGUGCAUGCUUGCAGUCUCAGCUCCUCGGGAGGCUGAGGGGCAGGGGAAUUGCUUGAACCCGGAGGGUGGAGGUUGUAGUGAGCUGAGAUUGCACCACUGCACUCCAGCUUGGGUGACAGAGUAAGAUUCUGUCUAAAACAAAAAGUAACAGUGAUGCAGAUCCAAGAAUGCAAUUACUGAAAGAAAUAGAAGCACCUAAAAAAAUAAUAAUACAACAUAGAUUUGUCCCUUCAUUUGUUUUGAGUAGAAAAAAAGGGGAAGAGAAAGGAGAACAAAGAAAGAUUUGAUUAAUGUUUUAAUCCUAGUCAUUUUUUACACCUCUGAUAGUAUGUGUGUUUACCGUAAGAUGAAUUGGCACACACAACUCACUUCAAAUUUUGUCAAUAGAUUCACUUCAAUCCAAAAAGCAGGUAUCAAUUAUAAAUUCCACUAACAAUCUCUGCUAUUAGAACUGAGUUUGUUCUCACUCCCUCACUCUAUAGAUUGUUGUAAAUUGACAAAUAACUUCCUUAUGCUAAGGUGGAUAGAGGAGGAUGAGGCAGGAAAAGGAAAAGGAAGUCAGCAUUUCUGGAACAUCUUUUCUCAAAUAUUCCUUGUUUAUUUGGGAGAUUAUGUUUCUUCUGAGGAUUAAAAAAAGAUUAGAAGUUAGAUUGGUAUUGUCUUAGGGGGAAAACAGACAAAUAGAAUGAUAAUAAUAGAACUCUGUUGCCAUAGAAUAUACAUCUAAGUAAUACUGUUUAUAAUGUUCCAAUUUACUAGAGGUUGUGCAUAUAAGCAAUCCUCUGUUUAUCUCCCCAUCCUCCAA